RNAcentral lists this ribosomal RNA (468 nucleotides) under uncultured bacterium. RNAcentral describes it as "partial 16S ribosomal RNA". It matches the Rfam family "Bacterial small subunit ribosomal RNA", at positions 28 to 507 of the family's 1533-position model. The record is from RNAcentral.
GACGAACGCUGGCGGCGUGCUUAACACAUGCAAGUCGAACGGAAAGGCCCUGCUUUUGUGGGGUGCUCGAGUGGCGAACGGGUGAGUAACACGUGAGUAACCUGCCCUUGACUUUGGGAUAACUUCAGGAAACUGGGGCUAAUACCGGAUAGGAGCUCCUGCUGCAUGGUGGGGGUUGGAAAGUUUCGGCGGUUGGGGAUGGACGCGCGGCUUAUCAGCUUGUUGGUGGGGUAGUGGCUUACCAAGGCUUUGACGGGUAGCCGGCCUGAGAGGGUGACCGGCGACAUUGGGACUGAGAUACGGCCCAGACUCCUACGGGAGGCAGCAGUGGGGAAUAUUGCACAAUGGGCGGAAGCCUAAUGCAGCAACGCCGCGUGCGGGAUGACGGCCUUCGGGUUGUAAACCGCUUUCGCCUGUGACGAAGCGUGAGUGACGGUAAUGGGUAAAGAAGCACCGGCUAACUACGUG